AUGUUAAACCCUAGUCCAUUCCUCCUAAACCCAAGCCGCACCUUUCCACCUAGAAGCCCUAUUUUACAAACCCUAAACCCUAGUCCACUUAAGUGCCGCACCUAACCCUAGCCCAUUGUUAAAAAUCUGAUUUCAUUAGGGUUUCUAAGUGCCUAUAUAUACCACCCUCUACACAAAAUCAGAAGAUAUAUCCCUUUCCCCACCUUGCCGCAGCCACCAUCACCCAAAAUCCUUCCUUGCCGCAGCCAUUCAUCCAUUCCAGCAACUACCACCCUUUGCCGCACCACCAUACACCUCCCUUACCCUUUGCCGAACCACCAUAUCAUCCCAAAUCCAUCCCUAAACCGAAAUCACAUCCAACAGCCCCUAAACCCUCACUGCCGCAGCAAGGAGAAGAAGAAAGAGGAGCUUUCUGUGCAGAUUUC
RNAcentral lists this long non-coding RNA (425 nucleotides) under Malus domestica (apple). RNAcentral describes it as "long non-coding RNA (MDOM_LNC019613)". Lineage: Eukaryota; Viridiplantae; Streptophyta; Magnoliopsida; Rosales; Rosaceae. The record is from RNAcentral.